RNAcentral lists this ribosomal RNA (442 nucleotides) under uncultured bacterium. RNAcentral describes it as "partial 16S ribosomal RNA". It matches the Rfam family "Bacterial small subunit ribosomal RNA", at positions 338 to 795 of the family's 1533-position model. The record is from RNAcentral.
CCUACGGGAGGCAGCAGUGGGGAAUAUUGGGCAAUGGGCGAAAGCCUGACCCAGCAACGCCGCGUGAAGGAAGAAGGCUUUCGGGUUGUAAACUUCUUUUGACAGGGAAGAGCAGAAGACGGUACCUGUCGCAUAAGCCACGGCUAACUACGUGCCAGCAGCCGCGGUAAUACGUAGGGGGCAAGUGUUAUCCGGAUUUACUGGGUGUAAAGGGAGCGUAGGCGGCAGUGCAAGUCAGAAGUGAAAGCCCAAGGCUCAACCAUGGGACUGCUUUUGAAACUGUACAGCUAGAUUGCAGGAGAGGUAAGUGGAAUUCCUAGUGUAGCGGUGAAAUGCGUAGAUAUUAGGAGGAACACCAGUGGCGAAGGCGCCUUACUGGACUGUAAAUGACGCUGAGGCUCGAAAGCGUGGGGAGCAAACAGGAUUAGAUACCCUUGUAGUC